UCCCAUAUGGUGUAGUGGUUAGCAUACCAGGCUUUCAACCCUGCUCUUGAUAUUCAAGAGACGCUUUGAAGACCACCCUGGAGUCCCGGGUUCAAUUCCCGGUGUGGGAA
This is a non-coding RNA of Apiosordaria backusii, 110 nucleotides long. The record is from the annotation of a GenBank genome assembly. Lineage: Eukaryota; Fungi; Ascomycota; Sordariomycetes; Sordariales; Lasiosphaeriaceae.